RNAcentral lists this ribosomal RNA (406 nucleotides) under uncultured bacterium. Its description in RNAcentral is "bacterial SSU rRNA". It matches the Rfam family "Bacterial small subunit ribosomal RNA", at positions 355 to 776 of the family's 1533-position model. The record is from RNAcentral.
UAAGGAAUCUUCCACAAUGGGCGAAAGCCUGAUGGAGCGACACCGCGUGCAGGAUGACACCUUUCGGGGCGUAAACUGCUUUUCUGAGUGAAGAAAUUUUGACGUUAACUCAGGAAUAAGCACCGGCUAACUACGUGCCAGCAGCCGCGGUAAUACGUAGGGUGCGAGCGUUAUCCGGAAUUACUGGGCGUAAAGCGUCCGCAGCCGGACAUUCAAGUCUGAUGUUAAAUCCCGCAGCUCAACUGCGGAAUCGUAUUGGAAACUGGAUGUCUAGAGUAAUGCAGAGGUGCGUGGAAUUUAUAGUGUAGGGGUAAAAUCCGUUGAUACUAUAAGGAACACCAAAAGCGAAGGCAGCGUACUGGGCAUUUACUGACGGUCAGGGACGAAAGCGUGGGGAGCGAAAAGG